Molecule: long non-coding RNA, 3533 nt
Organism: Tympanuchus pallidicinctus (lesser prairie-chicken)
Lineage: Eukaryota; Metazoa; Chordata; Aves; Galliformes; Phasianidae
Exons: 4
Source: RefSeq, a predicted model, not a curated record
GGCAGCUGCCGGUCCGCUCAGCUGACCGCCGUCACGCACCGCCCCGCCUCCUCCGCGGGGAUUUCCCGAGCUCCGCGCUUCCGCCCCGACCCGGGUGCUGUGGGGCCCCGGCUUAACCUGGCGCGAUGGAUGGCAGCCCUGCAGAAGGCUUGGAACCGGGUGAUCUUUAAGUCUGUGUUGCCUUCUUGCUUCUAACUGGUGCUGUGGUAGCUGCUGGAAACUCCUGAUUUUGGCCAGGAUCCCAUAGAUACUGUACAGACAGCUCAAAGACUUACUACUCUUUUAGUACACACUGAAUGGAUGACUCCUUUUACAACUGCAAUUAUAUAACACUUCCAUGCAAUGACACAGAAGAGAAAAAACAGUGCCUCUAGUGCAGCUUUUAGAUGAUCUAAUUCUGAGCUUGCUGGUGGCACCAAUUCUCUUUCCAGAUCAUCAUCAACUGAAUAGGUCAGGAGCUCCGGAAUACCGUACGUGUUUAAAAACACGGGCAUCUUUGCCCUUUUCUUUUGCUGUAUCUGAGUGUGAAAUUUGGACCAAGUAGGCAGCAGACUGAGAAAAUAUCUGAAGCCCUUUGGAAUGUGCUGCUGCUACUGCCAAGAACAGUCAUGCCAGGAAAACACAGGCAAAUCAAGAGCAAACGUGACCAAGUGCUAGAAGCAGGGAGAGAGCUUCGCUUUUGACUAAGGAUGGUCAAAAGUAAAAGUGGGACUAUUUUAGGGAGUUACUGAGUGGAAAUUGGAGAAUCGUGGUAAGAGGAAACUGAAAAGGGGGGUUCCAGGCUAAAUGGAGCUUUCGUGAACAGGCAAAGAGGGAUGACUGAGCUUGCUGAGAGAGAACUCUAAGAAGAAAUCAUGCCAGAAUGAGGCCAAGGAAAACUGUAUUCUAAAAGUACAGUGACAAAGUGAAAUAGCAGAAAAUCUCUUGCAAAUAACCCUAAUACAACCCUGUCUUUAUCCUGAAAUGCUUUCUUGUUCAUCACUAGAAGAGAACAGUGUCUGUAGCUCCAUACCACUGUACAGCCCACAGGGGGAGGUGACCCAUGCUCCCAUCAUUCAUUUUAGAAUACAGAACCAUGUUGCAAAGAGAUGGUCAAAACAGCAGUGUUCAGAAGCAUGGCAUGAUUUAAAAGGCAGAACUCUCAAAUAAAGCCUGGUGGCAUAUGUGUUUUAACAAGUUCUUCAUAAAUCUUACCAUCUAAAUCCUUUUGAAAAUCCAAUUCUGAUAUUUUUAGUUGGAAACAUUCUUUGUUUUCACCUCAAAUGGCUUGCUGUGACAUUUGGUUGAAGGUCUCAGUGUGACUCCACAAGCUGCUCUCUUACUAGGUCUGGAAAUGCCACUUUUGUUGUGCAUUCACAACUAUUUCCCCUUCUAGACAAUCUGAGGAGGGAAGAAUUGCUAUCAUAGUGAAUUGUGCUGCAUGGGCAUUUUUGACAGGAUGUGGCAAAGACCACAUCAGGUGUUACAAACCACCAAAAGAACAAUUAUAGUCGUGUUUUGAAAGUUGUGACAGUACAGAGUUUGCCCUAAAGACAGAUGACACCCAUGAUAGGAGCCAGGUGUUUGGUUUUCGUUUUUCUGGAGCAUGUUUGAGUUCUGGGAGUUGUGGGCCCCUCAUAGUACUCCAGAGAGCUGUGCACCAGACUAGGGCCAUAUCCUCCUCUUGGUCUUGUGGCUGCUGCUGAAUAGAAAUGAAGAUUGCAAACACAUCUCCCGAAUUGUGGUAUCUCACUAAUCACUGUGUGAACCUUGUGUUGUAGUCUGGAAUUAUUUCUGCGAUGGCUGAAGGAACACCACAGCGUAUUCGAGAAUGCACCUGCUGCAAGGAGGCAUGGACUGAUGAGUUUCCAGCCAUAUUCAUCUUUUUUUUUUUUUUUUUUUCCUUGACCAAGUGACAAGAAUAUUGUGAAGAAUUUGGUUUGCAAGAGAAAGAAGAGAAGGUGAAUUCCGAGGCUAUUCAAGGCUGUGAAGAGACUUCAAAUGUUGGCAGAUAACUGCUUUUCAGACAGGUGAGGGCGCUCAGCCCUUUUUAAAAGAAGUUGGUGUGAGUCUUGAGACACAGCGCUGAAAUACACUUGUGAUUGGACCAAUGCUGUGCUGCUACUGAACAAAGACUGAGUAGGGGGUUAGGCUCUAACACUGCUAACAACUGAAAAAUAAAAGGCCCAGAGCUGCUUAAAUAGCUGCUGAUGUGCUUCAGCACAAGCACGAAUUAAAUGCCUUAAUUUUAAUGGUAACUUGAAAGAAGACUGAUCACAGAUUUCCCCGUAUGGAGCAGCGCGGUUUUAUUUAUUUAUUACAAUUUCAAGUAUCUCCAUAAAAGUAAACCUGGAGGAAGAUGUUAGGAUAACAUACCUGGAUAUUUAUAUUCAGUGUGAGACUUUCAUCUCACACUUCCCUCUUACAGUGGUUCCAUCCUUGCCUUUGUGAUCUGCCUCUUGGCAUGAGACCCCUAAGCCAAUGCCAUCCUCUAUAGCUGCUCCAAAUUUCCCAGCAAAAGGACCUCUGUUGCACUGGGCUCUGUGUGGUGGGGGACAUCUGUCCACUUCUGGAAACAAACACACCCAGAUCAUAUUACUGUAUUGUUUUUAGGUAAUUUAGAUCUGGUUUAUAUUACCCUGUUUUCUCUGGCUUCACAUUUAUCUUCAAUUGGUUGCUGUAGCUCACCCUAAAACCCCCCUGUGAUUUUUGUUUAUUCACCAUUCUUCAUUAGCAAAUGCUUAGACUUCAGUUCUUGUAAAGCUCCUUAGGACAUGAAGCAGUGCUUCUGAGUUGUUAACCAUUAUUAUUACCAGUAGUGGCAUAAAUAAAAAUAGAAUCAUAGACUCACUCAGGUUGGAAAAUACCUUAAAGAUCAUUGAGUCCAACCACAACCUAACCGUAUUACCCUAACAACCCACCACUAAAUCAUGUCCCUGAGCACCACAUCCAAACGGUUUUUAAACACAUCCAGGGGUGGUGACUCAACCGCCUCCCUGGGGACCCUAUUCCAAUGCUUAACAACCCUUUCUGUAAAGAAGCGUUUCCUGAUAUCCAACCUAAUGAAUGUAUUCUGCUGAAGUACACUUAUUACAUACACUUAUUUUUAUUUACCAAAUCAUGGAAUUGUAGGGGUUGGAAGGGAUCUCUAGAAAUCAUCAAGUCAACCCCCAUUUACUAAAGCAGGUCCCUUAUAGCAGCUCGCCCAGGCAGGUCUUGAAUAUCUCCAGAGGGAGAGACUCCACAACCUCUCUGGGCAGCCUGUUCCAGUGCUCCAUUAAUCUGACAGUGAAUGAGUUCUGCCUUGUGUAGUAUGGAACUUCUUGUGUUCCAGUUUCUGGUGUCAAUUUAAGUCAUUACCGGUAUGAAAAUCUUGCCAGUUGGAUAUCUCAUGUCCUCAAGAUGAAAUAUUAAUCUAGUUAUCAUGGCCAUGAUUUCUAUAUUUGUUUUAUCUCUAAAGGUUCACCUUGUUUUGGGGAAUUAACAAUUAUUAUGUCUAUCUAUUGCUAUGUCUCCCACCCAUGGAGAUCCACAGAGACUCUGCUUUUCAGAUA